ACACCCAGAGCAGAAGCUAGGGCAGAGCCAAUGCUGAGGGAGCCUCGACUUCCGGCGCCGCCGCCCUCUCCCGGCAUCCGCAGAGCCAGCUGACGCCCUCCCUGCCUCCCAGGGCAGCUGGCCAGCCUCGGGCAGCGCGGCCCCCUCCUCCCAGGGGACAGUAGAAAUCGCACACGCAGCAGCAGCAGACCUGAUGUCCCGGUGCUUCCUGGCCCCUCAGCUCCAGUGAUUCACGCCCGCCUGGAGAAGAAUCAGAGCUCAGCUCAUGACUCAUCCGUGGCAGGCAGAGGGUCCCAGAGGGGCUGAGUCCUCAAAUCCGGCUGAGGCAGCAGCCGGCACCAUCGGAGCCAGGAGAGUGACAACCGGUAACCUAGACCCCACCAUCAGCUG
RNAcentral lists this small RNA (390 nucleotides) under Pongo abelii (Sumatran orangutan). RNAcentral's name for it is "processed transcript". Lineage: Eukaryota; Metazoa; Chordata; Mammalia; Primates; Hominidae. The record is from RNAcentral.